CCCAGCUGCCCCCCUUACCUUUUUUUUUUUUAAAUCCUUACCUUAUGUCUUAGAAUCAAUAUGGUAUAUUGGUUCCAAGACAGAAAUGUAGUAAGGUCUAGGCAAUGAGGGUUAAGUGACUUGCCAGGGUCACACAGCUAGGAAAUGUUUAAGGACAAAUUUGAACCCAGGACCUCCCAUCUCUAGGCCUGGCUCUCUAUCCACUGAACCAUUUAGCCACCCUAUCCUUAUCUUUCUUAUUUCUGCUGGCCCUAGGCCUUUGGACUCUGGUUUCCUACUUUGACCUAUUUUCUCUCUAUGAUGAAGUGAGCUCAUAGAUAAGCCUCUUUGAAUUGUGAAAUAUGCUGGACCCUUCUCUCUCCCUCCCUGCUUCUCACUUUAGUUAGACUACUAAUCCUGAUGUUUCCCAUUUAUCUCUGUACUAUUUCAGUGUGUCUCACAGCUGUCUGGGACCUGAUCCAGUUUUCUUACUAUACAAGGAUAGCCACCUAUCCUUAACCCACCCUUUCAUCCAUCCGUCCAUCCAUCCAUCCAUCUAUCCAUCCAUCCAUCCAUCCAUCCAUCCAUCCAUCCAUCCAUCCAUCCAUCCAUCUAUCCAUUCAUCCAGACAUGUUUUGGCUGCUAAUUGAACCAAGACUCUGUUCUUAUCAAGGAUCUUCUUCUUACCUUAGAAUCUGACCUGACAUCCAUGUUUCUUGAAAGAGGAGACAUAUGGCAGAUAUGUACACAAUGACAUAUGUCUACAUGGAGAGAAUAUUGAAUUUGGAAUUAGGAGACACAUUUUAGCCCUGGCUCCAAUAUUUAAAUCCUGUGUAACCUUGGAGUCAUCCAAGACCAGUGGAAACACAGAUGUCAGAAUGACUGAUGAUGGCCAGGGAUGCACUGAGUGACCAUGACAUCAUUGAUAUCUGAUCAAGCUUUAGACACUCCACAGUGCCUGCUUCAACCACCUUCAUGGCCCUUGGAACAAAUUGUUCUCAUUCUCCCAUUCCACGGGAAGAAGUCUUCAUAUGCUUGGGGAUAGACAUCCUUCCUAGCUCAGCAAUGGGUUUGAGGUCUAUCAGUUACCCUCUACCUGCUUUAGCCCACUUGCUGAGAUGGUUUACUGGGGCGUUGCCACUGCACAUGCUACAGCUUCUUGGAGCUGCAGGGAAGUGAGAGGAAAUGAACCAGACAGAAGAGAGCUAUAAAUAACAGUCGGCUUCACAGGGCCCUGUGCAGACCCAGCGACAUUCUUUAAAAACCAUUGGGCGCAUACACGCACACAGGGAAUCGGGCCACAGACUUGGCUUGGCUUCUGCUCAGCUCUGGAGCAGACCCUUCUCCAGACUCUAGGUUGCCUGAGGAAAGUGAUCGACUGCUAGUGAUUUAGUGGAGGACUCCCAAGAAAGAGGUCCAGCGUCAUGUGGAUUUCAUCCUUCCAGCCUCAGGCUGGCCCAAUAGCUCCUGACCCAGAGCCUAGGAAAUACCAUAAUUGCUGCAGGGGUAUUCCAUUCCCACAGUCCCGGGGUGAAGGGAGAGUGGGAUUUAGAGCAGGGCAUAGAUGUGCUAAGAUUUUUUCUUAGCUAAAUAAGAUUGGGCAAAGGUCCCCCGAUAUGACCUUAUUUAUUGUUCUGUCUGUGUUUAGAGAUAGAAGGAUAUCAUCUGUAUUCUGUAGAUAAGAAAACUGAG
This 1671-nucleotide long non-coding RNA is filed under the name Monodelphis domestica (gray short-tailed opossum). Its description in RNAcentral is "lncRNA (ENSMODG00000030534.2)". The record is from RNAcentral. Lineage: Eukaryota; Metazoa; Chordata; Mammalia; Didelphimorphia; Didelphidae.